AAGGCAGAUAGAGAGGGAGUGAGAGGCAGGAGCUGAGACACAGAUCCUGGAGGAAGAAGACCAAAGGAAGAGGGCAGAGACAGAAAGGGAGGUGCUAGGACAAAACUCGAAAGGUGGCCCUAUCAGGGAAGCAGAGGAGAGGCCGUUCUAGGGAAGCCCAGCUCCGGCACUUUUGGCCCCAACUCCCGCAGGGCUCAUGAAGGGGGACAAGCGUGAGGAGCAGGGGCUGGGCCCCGAACCUGCGGCGCCCCAGCAGCCCACGGCGGAGGAGGAGGCCCUGAUCGAGUUCCACCGCUCCUACCGAGAGCUCUUCGAGUUCUUCUGCAACAACACCACCAUCCACGGCGCCAUCCGCCUGGUGUGCUCCCAGCACAACCGCAUGAAGACGGCCUUCUGGGCAGUGCUGUGGCUCUGCACCUUUGGCAUGAUGUACUGGCAAUUCGGCCUGCUUUUCGGAGAGUACUUCAGCUACCCCGUCAGCCUCAACAUCAACCUCAACUCGGACAAGCUCGUCUUCCCCGCAGUGACCAUCUGCACCCUCAAUCCCUACAGGU
This 554-nucleotide small RNA is filed under the name Pan troglodytes (chimpanzee). Its description in RNAcentral is "processed transcript". The record is from RNAcentral. Lineage: Eukaryota; Metazoa; Chordata; Mammalia; Primates; Hominidae.